CUGGCAGUCAUUCCACUGUCCGAGUUGUAAAUUGAAGAGAAUGUCAUCCACACUGGACCAUGUCUAAAUUGUAAUAAUCCACAGUCCUUUGAUGGAGUAUCAGAGAGGGUAAUAAUCCCGUCUUUAAUGGUGGACCACCAGUGUUACGUAAGAUGCACUCUCUCAGAGUCGAGUAAUUUGGGAAUGCUGCUCUAAUGGGAGGUAAACUCCUUCUAAAGCUAAAUAUUGGCGAGAGACCGAUAGCGACAAAGUACCGUGAGGGAAAGAUGAAAAGAACUCUGAAAAGAGAGUCAAACAGAACGUGAAAUUGCUGAAAGGGAAGCGUUUGGAGUCAGAUGCAUCAAGUAUGUAAUACGGCUCAGUUGGCAGAGACUGAGAGUCAGUGACUUGAAGAUGGGCCAGCACUCACGUAGAUCAUUGGAGAAGGGGUCAUGGAAUGUAGCUCAAUUCUUGGGUGUUUAUAGCCUUGAUUCAUAUACAAUGUGUCUUAUGUGUGUUAAUUGACAGCACAAG
This 513-nucleotide ribosomal RNA is filed under the name Craterellus cinereus. Its description in RNAcentral is "eukaryotic LSU rRNA". It matches the Rfam family "Eukaryotic large subunit ribosomal RNA", at positions 122 to 616 of the family's 3401-position model. The record is from RNAcentral. Lineage: Eukaryota; Fungi; Basidiomycota; Agaricomycetes; Cantharellales; Hydnaceae.